UGAGGAAUAUUGGUCAAUGGGCGCAAGCCUGAACCAGCCAUGCCGCGUGCAGGAAGACGGCCCUCCGGGUUGUAAACUGCUUUUGUACGGGAAUAAACCUCGCUACGUGUAGCGAGCUGAAUGUACCGUAAGAAUAAGCUCCGGCUAACUCCGUGCCAGCAGCCGCGGUAAUACGGAGGGAGCUAGCGUUGUUCGGAAUUACUGGGCGUAAAGCGCGCGUAGGCGGUUUUUUAAGUCAGAUGUGAAAGCCCAGUUCUCAACACUGGAACUGCCUUUGAUACUGGAAGUCUGGAGUAUGGAAGAGGUAAGUGGAAUUCCGAGUGUAGAGGUGAAAUUCGUAGAUAUUCGGAGGAACACCAGUGGCGAAGGCGGCUUACUGGUCCAUGACUGACGCUGAGGUGCGAAAGCGUGGGGAGCAAACA
Molecule: ribosomal RNA, 422 nt
Filed under: uncultured bacterium
Lineage: Bacteria
Description: bacterial SSU rRNA
Rfam family: Bacterial small subunit ribosomal RNA
Source: RNAcentral